This 772-nucleotide ribosomal RNA is filed under the name uncultured bacterium. Its description in RNAcentral is "bacterial SSU rRNA". It matches the Rfam family "Bacterial small subunit ribosomal RNA", at positions 53 to 807 of the family's 1533-position model. The record is from RNAcentral.
ACAUGCAAGUCGAACGUGAAAGUCCUUCGGGGCGAGUAAAGUGGCGCACGGGUGAGUAACGCGUGGAUAAUCUACCCUUAAGAUGGGGAUAACGGCUGGAAACGGUCGCUAAUACCGAAUACGCUCCCGAUUUUAUCGUUGGGGGGAAAGAUGGCCUCUGCUUGCAAGCUAUCGCUUAAGGAUGAGUCCGCGUCCCAUUAGCUAGUUGGCGGGGUAACGGCCCACCAAGGCAACGAUGGGUAGCCGGUCUGAGAGGAUGACCGGCCACACUGGAACUGGAACACGGUCCAGACUCCUACGGGAGGCAGCAGUGGGGAAUAUUGCGCAAUGGGCGAAAGCCUGACGCAGCGACGCCGCGUGAGGGAUGAAGGUUCUCGGAUCGUAAACCUCUGUCAGGGGGGAAGAAACCCCCUCGUGUGAAUAAUGCGAGGGCUUGACGGUACCCCCAAAGGAAGCACCGGCUAACUCCGUGCCAGCAGCCGCGGUAAUACGGAGGGUGCAAGCGUUAAUCGGAAUCACUGGGCGUAAAGCGCACGUAGGCGGCCUGGUAAGUCAGGGGUGAAAUCCCACAGCCCAACUGUGGAACUGCCUUUGAUACUGCCAGGCUUGAGUACCGGAGAGGGUGGCGGAAUUCCAGGUGUAGGAGUGAAAUCCGUAGAUAUCUGGAGGAACACCGGUGGCGAAGGCGGCCACCUGGACGGUAACUGACGCUGAAGUGCGAAAGCGUGGGUAGCAAACAGGAUUAGAUACCCUGGUAGUCCACGCUGUAAAC